AGCAGUAGCCGCGGGAAUACAGAGGGUGCGAGCGUUAAUCGGAUUUACUGGGCGUAAAGCGUGCGUAGGCGGCUUCUUAAGUCGGAUGUGAAAUCCCUGAGCUUAACUUAGGAAUUGCAUUCGAUACUGGGAAGCUAGAGUAUGGGAGAGGAUGGUAGAAUUCCAGGUGUAGCGGUGAAAUGCGUAGAGAUCUGGAGGAAUACCGAUGGCGAAGGCAGCCAUCUGGCCUAAUACUGACGCUGAGGUACGAAAGCAUGGGGAGCAAACAGGAUUAGAGACCCGCGUAGUCCCUGUCUCUUAUAC
This 303-nucleotide ribosomal RNA is filed under the name uncultured bacterium. RNAcentral's name for it is "partial 16S ribosomal RNA". It matches the Rfam family "Bacterial small subunit ribosomal RNA", at positions 507 to 807 of the family's 1533-position model. The record is from RNAcentral.